UCUCGCCGCCCACCUCGCAAGCCCGCCCGUCCGCCCCGCCCCGGUCGGCCCCACCCCUCCUCCUCGUGCGCCCGCCCGCCCCAAACUCCGGCAAACAAAACGCACCAUUCACAACUCUGCGACCGGAGCCGCGCAUGCGCCGCCCACCCGCUUGCGGGGCGGCUGGACUGCAGCGAGCCAGAGGUGCGGCCCUCUCACCCUUGCGGGCCCGCGGUUUCCUCUGUGUAGAACUGCUCUGCGGACAUCUGCCCGGACCUUGGAGAGAGGGAGCCGCUCGCGCGGUUCCUUUCUGUCGACUGUAUGAAACUUUGGGGCUUCUCAGCUGCUUGGAGUGACCCCAGAUUGUCACCUGAACCAAACUAAACUGAACAAAAAAAAAACCUAUGGGACAGGCUGCGGUAUGCCCAGGUCGAGUUGCAGGAGAGGCCAGAGUGAGGAGUCUGGAUGUAGCACCAAGACCUACACCAAUGGACAAGCGAGGAUGGAGUAUGGAUAUCCUGAGGUCCCUUCUGAGAUAAUGAAGAAAAAAGCCAGGUCCUUAAUGCUGGUAUAGUCUCAUCCAAAAGGCCAUCUUCUCCUCCUUGAGCUUCACACCCACCCUCGUGAUGAAAUCCAACUGCAGCUCUUACUGCUCCGGGACUGCAGGAUAUACCCAAGCACUUGGACAUGCCCAGAAGAGCCAAUGGGAUCCGAUCUCAUGCACAGUACUACCCAAGAGGAAUCCUCUGCUACUCCCGCUGGGGUGGGCACCCCUCCUAUUGACUUACAAAAGGUAAGAGCCAACUGAACUCCAGGUUGUUGACACCCAGAAGAUAGGGCACAGGUGCAACUUGCCCCUGGCUCAGGAGCACCGCUGGGUCAUCUGGGAACACCACACCAUCCACCACCGGGCUCAUGAACCACACAACCUACAAGGCAAGGGGCAUUUCCAAAUAGUCCUCCCACAUAUCCUCCCAGGAUCCCUGUAGCCUAGGGUUCCCAGCUCAGCAGGUCCCCAUCCAGAGAUUUCUUUAUCCAUAGUCCCUUUGGGAAAAGCUGGGCUUCAGUGACCCCUUGAAGGGCAGGAGAUGCUCACCCCCAGGUAUCUACUUUCCUCACCUCUUGACAAUCUUUGCUAAAUGUCACCUUCUGAAUGAAGCUUUCUUUGUCCCUCCUAUUUAAAAUUCUAUGCCUUACUUACCCUGCUCCAUUUGUCACUAUUCACUUUCCUUCUAAAGAGGUAAAUGAGUUAUUUAAGUAUAGUGAUUACUGCCUGUCUCCACUGGAACAUCAGUCCUACUUGGGAAGGAAUCUUGGUCUGAACAGUUCACUUAGUAUCCUGAAUGCCUGGCACAUAGGAGGAGGUGUUCAAUAAAUACUGUAUCACAGAACAGGGCCUGCUCACCUCCUGAGGGUCUUUCUGGGAGUUCAGGUGGAAGAAUCCCUGUAGGGGAGAGGAGGGAACUAGAGUUAAAGAAAGUCUCCCCACUGUGCUCCUUAGACAGGGUCCCUGGGGGCAGCCGGGUAUCAGGUCAGGUAGGUGGCUUACAGGUGGCCAGGUGAAGGAGCUAGAAGGAAGUUUUACCUACCAUCUUCUUAGAUACAUGCAUCACCUCAGCCCCUGAUCGUGCCCUCAGGCAGUCUACCAGAAUCCGUGUGCUGUUGUAGGUACAGCCUGCCAGGCGGGCAACUGUCUGUGGAGAAGAGGUGUUCAGGCCCAUCCUGCCCCUUCUUGCUGAGCCCUGGGGGAGAGGAGACACCCACCUUGGCCACCUUCAGCGGGUCAGGAGUGAUGAAGGCUCUGAGUGCUGCGGUGCCGCUCUGGGAAAUGGCCCGAUGAAAGAGACCGCGGGCUAGGGGUGACAUCAUCUGCAGGGGUGGGGAGUGUGGUACCCAUGAGAGGCACAAGUAGAAGUCACUUGGGCAGUUUUGGGUGCCUUUCUGGCCAGGGCUGGGCAGUGUGAAGGGGCCCAAAGAGUGCAGGCAGCUUGGGAGGGAGUCAAGAGUCCUGGGUUGGAGUCCUGGACCUACAGCCGGUGCCUUCAUGCCUGUGGGCCCCCCUAUCCUGGCCCCUGCAAUGGGCCCCAGCAGUUCCAGAGGGGAUCUGAGCUUGUGGGAAGGGUUCUGCUGGUGUAGGAAAGAGACUCUCUAUGCUUCUGGGUUAGAAAUGGGGGGGGGGGGUGUUGGUUCCUAUGGCCCCUUUAACCUGUAUUGACAGUUCUUAACUUUCUUUGCUGCCCAAGUUGGAAGAGCAACUAUAACUGGGACCCCUCAUCUUGUCUCUUGGACACUUCAGACUUCAUGUGCCCCAAACUUGUUCUAGCUGGUUCCCAUCUGAGUGGCAUCCCUCACACUACACCAUCUAUCCAGCCCCGGGGGCCUUUCCUAUCAUCUCUGCUCACCCCUCCACCCAGCUGCCCUAGUCCUGUCCAUCUGGCUUCCUGCAUCCCUCUUCAGCUACCUUCUACUUUCCAGUCUUCUUGCUUUUGUUUUAGAGGCAGGCCUUAUCCUCUCUUCUAAGAUAUACCCCACCUCCACUCCCAGAUGGCCUCCAGGCCUCUCCUGCUUCUUCCUAACUCAGUUACAGCACACUGAGCCAUCUCUCUAAAUGCACUUCUGGCUGUGUCACUUCUCUGCUUCAAAUCUUUCCCUGUUCUCCAAUGUAUUUUGAAUAAAGCUGCUUAACUUUUCUGGACUUCAAUUUAUCCAUCUGCACAAUGGAGAAAACUUCUCUUUUGGUAGAACUGUAGAAAGAGGAUGCUUCUAUUUCUGGAUUGUUGAGGGAAUUGAAUGAAUAUACAUACAGUGCUUGGAAGAGUGUUUGACACACAGAAAGUGCUUGAGCGUUUGAGUAUUAUUACUGUGGCGGGUAAAGCCCUGUGUUAUGUGGUCCCAGCUCACCUCCCUAACAUGUGUCCCACAGGGUGUACCUGACCUUACACCUACACUCCAGGCACACUCCAGGUCGGUGGUCGCCCGAGUCUCCAACCCAGGCCCCUGACUCCCAGGCUUGGUCUGUGGCCCCAGCCUUGCCCAUAAGGUGGAUGAUGCAUUCUGUUCAGGGGAUAGAGCUCUGGGGGUAGGUAGGGAGGCAGGAGGUGCUGGGUUAUCUUUCUGGCCCACCACGGAUUGGUUGAGUAUCCCUACUCUCAGCGUUGCCCGCUCUGCUGGCUUGGUUUUCUCAUCAGUGCUACCCCUGGAUGGAGUAGUACCCUUUGCAGGGGUGAGGGCAACCGGCAUGUACCUGUACACACAAAUCUGCAUAGGUGUGUGUGCAGUGGAGGAUGCACUCAUGGGAACCUGGGGACCUGCGUCUGUGCUGGGUCUGACCUGGCGCUGCACUCACCAGUCCCGAAAUACACAUGGCCCCCGAAGACUGGCCAAACAGGGUCACGCAGCGUGGGUCUCCGCCGAAGGCUGCGAUGUUCUCUUGCACCCAGCGCAAAGCAGCCACCUGGUCCAGCAGCGCCCAGUUCCCGCGGGCCUGGCUGUCGCCCGUGCUGGACGCGCGGGGCUUAUAAUCAGGGUCCGGAGCCCCCCGACCGUCUGGUUACUCAGGGCUCCAGCCUGGUUCUGCCUGGCCCCACCUCACCCUGCCUGGUCCCUCAGGCACCAGGUCUUGCGACCACACCUCUUUCCCUAGUGUUAGAUCCCCCUCUGGCGGCACUUGGGAGUGACCGCCCUCUCCAGAAGAAAUUAGGCCCCGCCCCUGCACGCACCUCUUGUAACCACGCCCCCACACCACCUCCUCUAACCUUCCGCCCAAGUCCCUGGGAAGCCGGGCCCCUGAUUCCCCGCUCCGGCCCCCGGCCCCGCCCACCUCAGGAAACCUAGGAUGCCGAGCCUGUGCUGCAGAAGCACGAGCACCACUUUCUCGCGAGAGGCCAGCUGCGUGCCAUCGUACGUGGAAGCGGAGCCCACGAGGAAGGCACCUCCUGGGAACCAGACCAUCACCUGGACAUGGAAAGCGGAGGCCUGAGCUGGGCGGUGGGGUGCCUGAGUGGGAUGGUGCGUGGAAGAGGAUGAAUACUCACCGGCAACGGAGCGUCCCCACGCGCUCGCACUGGAGCGUACACGUUCAGGUACAGACAGUCCUCACUGAAGCGCAGCCACUUGUACUGUUUCCGCGUGUUGAAGUACAUGGAGGUGAUCUGUCCCCAGGACUCCUGAAGGCACCUGCGGUCACGAUGUGAGUUUGGGCCCAACGUGGUGGCCAAAGACGGGAGAAUGGUUGCAAACCCAGGUUCCGCAAUUGAGGAAAUAGAACCAAAAGCAAAAUUUAGGAUGCGCGCGCGUGCGUGUGUGUAUCUGUGUCCGAAUAGUCUCCACUAGCAUUAGGGUCCAGGGUGAGUGCAGCGCCAGGUCAGACCCAGGGCAAGAUCCACCCCUCUGUCUUGCCCCCGGUCCCAGGAAUCUGCCUGGGGAGAGGUUCCAUGCUUCUUUUGGAGACCCUUUUGGUGCUGUCAAGCCAGAAACCUGGGUGUCCUGGGAUUUCAUGCCCCCGUCCUUCAGGCUCUUUUCUGUCUCCCAAACAGCUCUUAAAUAGGCCUUCUCCAUCCCAGAGAUGCUGCCUUGUAAAGGCCAUUACCUACACUGGCCAGGACACUGCCCCAGCCUCUUUGAUAUCACUUCCAACUCAUCCUCCACACCCUGACCGGAGGGAUUGACAGAAAACAAAAACCUAUUUCACUUCCCUCCUUAAAACCUUCCUGGGCCCCCCUGCGCUCAGGAUAAGGUUCAGAUUCACCCAUACUGACGCAGGCCCUCUCCAUCUAGUCUUCCUGGCACUCUUUGCUCUAGAUGCCCACGGACCCUUCCUUGUCUCCCAUCUCUAAGCCCUUUUGCUUAUGUCCCUUCUGCCUAAUGUUUUCUCUGCCUGGCAAACUCCUGCUUAUGUUUAAGGCUCAGCUAAAGUGGCGCCCCCUCUGCUGGGCACUUCCUGUCUGUGCUUCCCAAAGUUCUAUCCACGCUGAUUAUAGUGCUGGGUUAGAGUUGUUUCGAUUGGUUUGGUUGUUAUUCUCCCCAAGCAACCAUGCACUCCCUAGGGGCAGGGAUGGAUGUGGAUUUGUCUGAGUCCUGGCACUCAGCCCAGUGCCUUGUACCAUGUGAACAUUUGGUGUACUUGUGGAGCUUGGGCUGUUGGGCCACCUCAUCCUUUCUCCCUGCUGUCCCAGCCUGGAGUGUGGCUAUUGCCAAUAGUUGGGGCUGGGCCCAUCUGACUGGCUGCAGGAAAGCCUGUCUAUUCUACUCCUUUCUCCACUUGUUCCCUUGCUGCUCUGGCCUGAAGCUAGUCAUUAUCCAAACUGGCCACUAGUCUUCUUGUCUCCUUAACUACCAUCCCACAGUCUGUUGUAAGCCAUCCACAAAUUCUUCUACCUGUCACUCUGUGUUCCAAACAGCUAUUGUCUGACAGUUCAUGGCCAACGUUCCAACAGCUGACACUUGGACUUCUAUGCAAUGGGCACCCCAAUCUCUAAACCCCUGAUCCUCGGGGCUCUAAUAAUGGUCAUCCCCUGUUCUGUCACCUGAUCUAUGGGAUUCCACAUAACAAUCACAGAAGGUUCAGAUGUCUUGGUUUCUCUCACUGGUGGUCAGUGUUCUAACAACUAACACCCCAGUGUUCUACUAAUAGCCAUUCAUGUUCUAACAGUGGAUGCCCUGUUCUCAACAGUUAGACAUCCUGGGUGGUGGUUAUAGUUUUUAGAUAUCAACUGACACCCAGGUUCUCACAGUAGACAUUUUUCUAAACCCAGUGCUGUAUCCAACCGAUUGUUAAUGAUUGCCACAGAAUAUUCUGGUCAGUGGGUUACUCAAUGAUCUGAAUAAAUAAUAAAUAUACUUGUUCUGGGUAAAUUGCCAAGCCUAGUGCUUCAAAGGGCAGUCAUUAUCUCAACAUGCUCAUGUGACUCAGGAUUUGAGCCCUAUUAGAGGUUGCAUUAAGAUUCUGGGACUUUGGGGUGCUUGGGUGACUCGGUUGGGUUCAGGUCAUGAUCUCAGGGUCAUGGGAUUGAGCCCUGCAUGGGGCUCUGUGCUGCAUGUGGAGCCUGCUUAAGAUUCUCUCUCUCCCUCUGCCCCUCCCUUGCUCAAGCACUCGUACGUGCGCGUGCGCGCUCUCUCUCUCUCUCUGUCUGAAAAAGAAAAAAUUCUGGGACAUUAAAACUGAAACUGAGCCUGUGACUCCCUAUCUUGGAGCUCCUUCUGCAGGGAAGGGCUGAUGGUGUCAUGUGGGCUUGUUCUGGGGCUCAAGCCCCAAGUGAGUGGGAAGAGCUCAGGGUUCACUGGGUAUGGUGUGUGUGUGUGUGGGGGGGGGGAGACAGAGACAGAGACAGAGAGACGGAGACACAGACAGACAGAGACAGAGAGAACUCCUCCUCACAUACUUUUAGGAAAACUUAGGUUCCCAGAAGAUCCUGGAGGCACAUCAGUGAGCACCUCCUCCUUGUCUGGAGCUUUCCCAUAAGAAAGCCAAGAACAAACAGCAUUAACAGUCCUGUAAACAUCAUCUGGGCCAACGACUUCAUUAUAUAGGUUUGGAAACUGAGGGCCGGAAUGGACCCCAGGCUACUUACAGUCAUACAGUGCACUCUUUAGUGAGUUGUUCAAACUCUGGCCCAGAGGCCAGCAUAGAUCCACCCCCCCUCCUUAGAGUCUGCCCACCUCCCAGCCAACAGUCAUUUGGCUCUUACGCAGGGGCAUAGGUGGUGGCGUUUUUGAUUCCUUCCCAGGGCUCUGGAGGCUCUGGGGCAGCAAACCUGAGGACACCCACAGGUGGUCUGGAGAAGGGCACUCCUAGGAAGACAUUGAUGGGUGUCUUCCCAAUGUGCAUCUGUUUUCCUUGGAGGGUCCCAUAUUUGGUAAUCACUAGAGGUUCCUUGGUGUGCUGAGCACCUAGGAAGAGAGGAGAAGGGUCACUCUGGCCACUGAAAGGACUCUGGCCUGUCUGCCAUGGCACCAGUUGCAGCUUGAAGCUUUUCACAAUUGUGUAUUUUGCCUACCUUUUCUGUGUUUCUCUCAGUAUUUUUCUCUCUCAUUAUUUAAGGUUUCAAUGCUAUGUUGGUAGGUGCAUAAAGGUUCAUGUCUAUUAUAUGAAUUAUUUUUCUGUCAUUUAAUGUAUCAUUUAAUGUCAAUAAUCAUGUCAUUUAUUUUGA
Prionailurus viverrinus (fishing cat) is the source of this 7127-nucleotide long non-coding RNA. RefSeq lists it as uncharacterized. NCBI's taxonomy places the organism in Eukaryota, Metazoa, Chordata, Mammalia, Carnivora, Felidae. The transcript is spliced from 4 exons. The record is from RefSeq and is a predicted model, not a curated record.